GAAGGCUUUUGACUCCUUGCGAGGAAUGCUGAGUAGCAGGAGCGUCCUUGCUCAUUAUGAUGAGUCGAAGCCGCUGGUCCUGGCAUGUGAUGCCUCUCAAUACGGCCUGGGGGCGGUGCUGAGUCAUAGGGAACCGGAUGGGUCGGAAAAGCCCAUCUCUUUCUAUUCCCGUACGUUGUCGCCCACGGAGCGCAACUAUGCUCAAAUUGACAAAGAGGCGCUUGCAAUUGUGGCAGGAAUCAAAAAGUUCCAUGAUUAUGUGUAUGGUCGCCAUUUCUCCAUUGAAACGGACCACAAACCACUGUUAGGGUUCUUCAACCCGAACAAACAAACGCCACAAAUUCUCUCCCCCAGAAUGUUGCGUUGGUCUAUAUUCCUGAACGGGUUCCAGUACACCUUGACCCAUGUGCCGGGGAAACGGUUGUGCCACGCUGAUGGGCUUCAGCAAAUGAACCAGGGUCUGCUAGUCCUCAGGAUGACGAGGUACAGGUAGGGGACCCUGCGAUGUCUGGGACUCCAUCUGUUCCUGACGAAACCCCUAUAGCACCCCCCCUACCACAGGUAACAUCCAAUCCAGAACCGGCAACACCUGUUGUCAGGAGAUCAAGUAGAAGUUGUAGGACCCCACAGUACCUGAGAGAUUACGUCUGCGGUGCUCACUAGGGGGGGAGGGGUGUUGUGUAUUGAGUCAAAGGAUUUUAUAUCUGUAUUAUUAUUGUCUGUAUUUGCAUUAGGGUAAAGUAACUGCCUUUUGGUUCCAGAGGGUACAGCUACUAUUGGUUCAUUUAAGCUGCUGUAUUUGGAUCCUCUGUCUUACUGGUUUCCUCCAAAAGGCAGGACUGUGAUUGCCUGAUAUUGUUCCCUCCAAAAUGUAUCCUUUCUAGCUAGUUCCCUGUCCCUAUAAAUGUAGCUCUCCCCUCCUCAGGUCUCAGUCUUGUUUGCUUUAAUAAAGAAGUGUUACUACAGAA
Long non-coding RNA from Podarcis raffonei (Aeolian wall lizard), 968 nucleotides. RefSeq lists it as uncharacterized. The transcript is spliced from 2 exons. NCBI's taxonomy places the organism in Eukaryota, Metazoa, Chordata, Lepidosauria, Squamata, Lacertidae. The record is from RefSeq and is a predicted model, not a curated record.